Molecule: unclassified non-coding RNA, 147 nt
Organism: Macaca fascicularis (crab-eating macaque)
Lineage: Eukaryota; Metazoa; Chordata; Mammalia; Primates; Cercopithecidae
Rfam family: Metazoan signal recognition particle RNA
About the family: The signal recognition particle (SRP) is a universally conserved ribonucleoprotein. It is involved in the co-translational targeting of proteins to membranes.
Source: Ensembl
GCCAGGCAUGGUGGUGCAUGCCUGUAGUCUCAGCUACUUGGAAGGCUGAGGUAGGAGGAUCAUUUGAGCCCAGGAGGUCAAGGCUCCAGUGAGCCGUUACUGCGCCACUGCAGUCAGCCUGGGCAACAGAAUGAGACCCUGUCUCAA